GCUGGCGGCGUGCUUAACACAUGCAAGUCGAACGGAAAGGCCCUGCUUUUGUGGGGUGCUCGAGUGGCGAACGGGUGAGUAACACGUGAGUAACCUGCCCUUGACUUUGGGAUAACUUCAGGAAACUGGGGCUAAUACCGGAUAGGAGCUCCUGCUGCAUGGUGGGGGUUGGAAAGUUUCGGCGGUUGGGGAUGGACUCGCGGCUUAUCAGCUUGUUGGUGGGGUAGUGGCUUACCAAGGCUUUGACGGGUAGCCGGCCUGAGAGGGUGACCGGCCACAUUGGGACUGAGAUACGGCCCAGACUCCUACGGGAGGCAGCAGUGGGGAAUAUUGCACAAUGGGCGGAAGCCUGAUGCAGCAACGCCGCGUGCGGGAUGACGGCCUUCGGGUUGUAAACCGCUUUCGCCUGUGAUGAAGCGUGAGUGACGGUAAUGGGUAAAGAAGCACCGGCUAACUACGUGCCAGCAGCCGCGGUGAUACGUAGGGUGCGAGCGUUGUCCGGAUUUAUUGGGCGUAAAGGGCUCGUAGGUGGUUGAUCGCGUCGGAAGUGUAAUCUUGGGGCUUAACCCUGAGCGUGCUUUCGAUACGGGUUGACUUGAGGAAGGUAGGGGAGAAUGGAAUUCCUGGUGGAGCGGUGGAAUGCGCAGAUAUCAGGAGGAACACCAGUGGCGAAGGCGGUUCUCUGGGCCUUUCCUGACGCUGAGGAGCGAAAGCGUGGGGAGCGAACAGGCUUAGAUACCCUGGUAGUCCACGCUGUAAACGGUGGGUACUAGGUGUGGGGUCCAUUCCACGGGUUCCGUGCCGUAGCUAACGCUUUAAGUACCCCGCCUGGGGAGUACGGCCGCAAGGCUAAAACUCAAAGGAAUUGACGGGGCCCCGCACAAGCGGCGGAGCAUGCGGAUUAAUUCGAUGCAACGCGUAGAACCUUACCUGGGUUUGACAUGGAUCGGGAGUGCUCAGAGAUGGGUGUGCCUCUUUUGGGGUCGGUUCACAGGUGGUGCAUGGCUGUCGUCAGCUCGUGUCGUGAGAUGUUGGGUUAAGUCCCGCAACGAGCGCAACCCUUGUUCACUGUUGCCAGCACGUUAUGGUGGGGACUCAGUGGAGACCGCCGGGGUCAACUCGGAGGAAGGUGGGGAUGACGUCAAGUCAUCAUGCCCCUUAUGUCCAGGGCUUCACGCAUGCUACAAUGGCUGGUACAGAGAGUGGCGAGCCUGUGAGGGUGAGCGAAUCUCGGAAAGCCGGUCUCAGUUCGGAUUGGGGUCUGCAACUCGACCUCAUGAAGUCGGAGUCGCUAGUAAUCGCAGAUCAGCAACGCUGCGGUGAAUACGUUCCCGGGGCUUGUACACACCGCCCGUCAAGUCAUGAAAGUUGGUAACACCCGAAGCCGGUGGCCUAACCGUUGUGGGGGAGCCGUCGAAGGUGGGACUGGUGAUUAGGAC
Molecule: ribosomal RNA, 1439 nt
Filed under: uncultured organism
Description: partial small subunit ribosomal RNA
Rfam family: Bacterial small subunit ribosomal RNA
Source: RNAcentral